UACGGGGGGGGCAAGCGUUGUUCGGAAUUACUGGGCGUAAAGGGCUCGUAGGCGGCCAACUAAGUCCGACGUGAAAUCCCCAGGCUCAACCUGGGAACUGCGUCGGAUACUGGAUGGCUUGAAUUCGGGAGAGGGAUGCAGAAUUCCAGGUGUAGCGGUGAAAUGCGUAGAUAUCUGGAGGAACACCGGUGGCGAAGGCGGCAUCCUGGACCAACACUGACGCUGAGGAGCGAAAGCCAGGGGAGCAAACGGG
This 253-nucleotide ribosomal RNA is filed under the name uncultured bacterium. Its description in RNAcentral is "partial 16S ribosomal RNA". It matches the Rfam family "Bacterial small subunit ribosomal RNA", at positions 524 to 776 of the family's 1533-position model. The record is from RNAcentral.